This 690-nucleotide ribosomal RNA is filed under the name uncultured bacterium. Its description in RNAcentral is "bacterial SSU rRNA". It matches the Rfam family "Bacterial small subunit ribosomal RNA", at positions 790 to 1483 of the family's 1533-position model. The record is from RNAcentral.
GUAGUCCACGCUGUAAACGAUGAAUACUAGGUGUAGGGGCCAUUACGGUUUCUGUGCCGCAGCAAACGCAAUAAGUAUUCCACCUGGGGAGUACGACCGCAAGGUUGAAACUCAAAGGAAUUGACGGAGACCCGCACAAGCAGUGGAGUAUGUGGUUUAAUUCGACGCAACGCGAAGAACCUUACCAAGGCUUGACAUAACGGUGAAUAUGAUGGAAACAUUAUAGUCCUUCGGGACACCGCUACAGGUGGUGCAUGGUUGUCGUCAGCUCGUGUCGUGAGAUGUUGGGUUAAGUCCCGCAACGAGCGCAACCCUUGUUAAUAGUUGCCAGCAUUAAGUUGGGCACUCUAUUGAGACUGCCGGUGAGAAAUCGGAGGAAGGUGGGGACGACGUCAAAUCAUCAUGCCCCUUAUGUCUUGGGCUACACACGUACUACAAUGGCUAUUACAGAAGGCAGCGAUGGCGCAAGCCGGAGCGAAUCCCCAAAGAUAGUCCCAGUUCGGAUUGUGGGCUGCAACCCGCCCAUAUGAAGUCGGAAUUGCUAGUAAUUGCAGGUCAGCAUACUGCAGUGAAUACGUUCCCGGGUCUUGUACACACCGCCCGUCAAACCAUGAGAGUCAGCAACACCCGAAGUCAGUAGCGUAACCGCAAGGAGCGCGCUGCCGAAGGUGGGGUUGAUGAUUGGGGUUA